This 457-nucleotide ribosomal RNA is filed under the name uncultured bacterium. RNAcentral's name for it is "bacterial SSU rRNA". It matches the Rfam family "Bacterial small subunit ribosomal RNA", at positions 337 to 791 of the family's 1533-position model. The record is from RNAcentral.
UCCUACGGGAGGCAGCAGUGAGGAAUAUUGGGCAAUGGGCGCAAGCCUGACCCAGCCAUGCCGCGUGCAGGAUGACGGCGCUAUGCGUUGUAAACUGCUUUUAUUCGGGAAGAAACCCAUCUACGUGUAGGUGGUUGACGGUACCGAAAGAAUAAGCAUCGGCUAACUCCGUGCCAGCAGCCGCGGUAAUACGGAGGAUGCGAGUGUUAUCCGGAUUCAUUGGGUUUAAAGGGUGCGUAGGCGGAAUAUUAAGUCAGCGAUGAAAUCCUGCAGCUUAACUGUAGAACUGUCAUUGAUACUGGUAUUCUUGAAUGCAGUUGAGGUAGGCGGAAUGUGUAAUGUAGCGGUGAAAUGCUUAGAUAUUACACAGAACACCGAUUGCGAAGGCAGCUUACUAAACUGUGAUUGACGCUGAGGCACGAAAGCGUGGGGAGCAAACAGGAUUAGAUACCCUGGU